UUCCUGUGAAAUAUAGAGAUUUCAGAAUUGAACUUGCUAUUUAGUACAUACCGAACAGUAAUUCAGAACGAGAUAUUACGAAUUAUACAUUUUUAGUUCGUUCGAGACAGUCUAUGUCAUAAAUAGGUGUCAUUGUAUGUUAAAAUUAGAAAUCCCUGAGGAUUGAAGAACCCGGUCAUCCAGAAGACCUUGGGUCUGCCAUAGGUGAUCCAUUGUCUGAAUUGGUGAUCUCGUUCCAGAAGCUCUGUGUACCAAAAUCCAAGCGUUGCCGAUUCCCAGGAGAUCUUCAACCAUUUCUCCGGAAUGCGAGCGUCGUACAUUGAAUCGAGUGAUUUUCGCAAACCUUGACUCAUCACGAUGGUACCCUCGAUAGCUAACUUCAAAUCUGUUAAAGUGCUAUGCACCUCUUUAAUGACUCUGCUGAUUCUGUAGAAAUUCGAUUGAGGAGCAAAUCAUCAUUAGGUGGAAAAAUGAGAGGAACCCAGGGAAAUAUACCUGUCGAUUUCUUGUCUCAAAAAUAUAUUCAUAGGUAGCAGCGCACCCAUUCGUUGAAGUGCUUCUUUCACUUCGAAAGAAUUAUAUUGUUUCGGUAAUUUGACCAGCAUGUCAUUAGCGAGUUUGUAGACCACAUUUUCUCUGGUUUCACCACCUUGUGCACCCCCUUCUUUAGGCUGUACACUCAGAAUUGUAUCGAGUAUUCCUUUUGCCGUGUUUAUCUGAUAAGUGAUGUCCGCGUUUGGAUGUAAACCAAAUACUUCUGGUGUGUCCGUUGCAUGUAAAUUGUCGAUAUAGUCCAAGUAUUCUUGGAGGUUUCUCGUCUGUGGCACUUUGUAUCCACGGUAAAAUUCGAAGCCAGGUCGUAACAGUACAUCGCAAAACCAAACAUGAGUAAACGUAGUUAACAAACGUUUGUCGAAGUCAUCGGUAACUCUGCCACCGUAUUGAACCUAAAUAGAUGUAGGGUAAGUGCAGGAUAGUUCGACCACUGGGAGAGACCAGUCAAUGUUAGCAUUUUAACAUUGAAAGAAGAGGAAAAUCUGUCUCAUUGAGAUAAAACAAAUGAGUCAUUUCGUUGUAAAUCUUGCUUCAAUUGGCAUAAAAGCGUAUUUAAGUUAUAAAUUACAUUUGAAGCUUUUAAUAGAUCUGAAAACUUUUGCAUUGCAAUUUUAAUGAUAUUCGAAAGAUGCUUACAGAUUUAUCAAAUCUGCAUAAAAUUUUAAUAGAAUACACAUGUAUUCAUUUUUACUUUACGUUAAUAAGAUGAUUUUGGUAUGGUUCGACCACUUUGAUUCGGAACAAUUCGACCAUAUUAAAUCAAUAUAUACGAUAAUAUUACUACAAAUUAACAAAAAAUGCCUAUUAGAAAAAGAAAAUUGAAGAAGAAAGACAUACCAAUUAAUUUUCUUAUUCAUUGUACUUUAGUCUCAUCUGAAUGGUUAGAACUGCAGGUGAGACUGGCCAAUUGUAGCAUUAAUGUCUUUUUUUAUUGGAAAUGAAAAAAAAUAAUUUUAUUAAAAUAUGAUUUACAGAUAAAUAACACGAAUAAUAUUUAAAUUUGUCCAAGAUAACAAAAAUCUGAAAAAAUAAUUGUACAAUGUUUUUUCAAAAGGUGGUCGAAACUUACCCUAAAAUUUUCAGGUACAAUAAAUUUUUUAUUUUCAUUUCAGCAGUGUCAUGUUUAUGAUAUUUACAACGAUGUAUUAAUUUAAUGUAACAUCAUGUCAAGGACAUAAUGACAGGAAAUAUUUAAUGGCAAAGUACUUUGACAAAUAAUUAAAUAAUUAAUAAAACAGACCUCUCCAAGCAUAUAGCAAACAGUUGGCCACGAUACACCUCUCUUUGGAUCCAUGUCGUCCAAAUGGUUCUGUAUAAAUUGAACGGAAGCAGCAAAGUCAGCCUGAUUAAACUCGUAUGGUAUGUUCCAGCCAAGAGGUCCAAAUUUUCUACGUUCUUGCACUACUGUAUGUAAGAACGCAACAGCGUAUAAUAAAGGUGGCCAUUGUGACUGCGUGCUAUAAUCCAACAUAUCCUGCGUUACUCCUUGCUGUAAGAAGAGACCUGAAGUAAACCAAUGGGAAAUUGCUGAUGCACUUCGGUGGUCAUCCAAAGUCUAAACGCCUCGUGGACAGUGUCUGUUUCAACCAGAGCGUCCAUGACUUCCGUGCAAAAAGGAAGCGACAGAUCGGUGAAUAUAAACGUGGUGCCCUUUCCUUGUGCCCCGCACGUUCGAUACAAAUAUCUUAGAUCUUCCAAGAAAUUUGCCACGUUGUAAGAUCUUGUCAGAGUGAUUUGAAACGUUUUGUAACCGGCGAUGAAGGACGAUAACUUCGUGAGACUCUGCUUGCCAGAUCCUCCAACGCCUACCAACAUCACAUUUCCUUUUGGAUGUCGGAUGACUCUGGAUAUUUUAACUAAGUGUAGCAUGGCGUCGGGGAAGAAAACCAAAUCCAUGCCCGAGCCUCUUUGCAUUUCAUUGAAUUGGGAGAGAAACAUUUCUAAUCUGUCUCUGAGAAUUUGUUCGUCGUAAACCGGUUCGUAGACUUUUGGUAAUUCGACGUCAGUGUCUUCACCUUCCUCACCAGUUGGCUCGGGAGCAUCUCUGAAAAUUAUUGCGUCUAUUGUUAAUUAUAACUUAAGGUAAAUUAAGGUAAAUUAAGGUAAAUUAAGGUAAAUUAAUAAAUCAAGUUAA
Molecule: long non-coding RNA, 2689 nt
Organism: Frieseomelitta varia
Lineage: Eukaryota; Metazoa; Arthropoda; Insecta; Hymenoptera; Apidae
Exons: 4
Source: RefSeq, a predicted model, not a curated record